Molecule: ribosomal RNA, 253 nt
Filed under: uncultured bacterium
Lineage: Bacteria
Description: partial 16S ribosomal RNA
Rfam family: Bacterial small subunit ribosomal RNA
Source: RNAcentral
UACAGAGGGGGCAAGCGUUGUUCGGAAUUACUGGGCGUAAAGGGCGCGUAGGCGGCCUUCUAAGUCGAACGUGAAAUCCCUGGGCUCAACCCAGGAACUGCGUCCGAUACUGGAAGGCUUGAAUCCGGGAGAGGGAUGCGGAAUUCCAGGCGUAGCGGUGAAAUGCGUAGAUAUCUGGAGGAACACCGGUGGCGAAGGCGGCAUCCUGGACCGGUAUUGACGCUGAGGCGCGAAAGCGUGGGUAGCAAACAGG